GCAAACUANANACCCCUCCCGUAGNGAGCGGGUAUACUUCUUUGAGGGACAAUCGGCUUUUACNCNAACGAAAAANANCAAUAACAGGUCUGUGAUGCCCUUAAAUGUUCUGGGCCGCACGCGCGCUACACUGAAAGAUACAACGGGUGUNUCACUUUGCUCGGAAGANUUGAGUAACCCUGCANCGUCUUUCGUGCCAGGGAUCGGGGAUUGCAAUUAUUUCCCGUGAACNAGGAAUUCCCAGUAAGCGCGAGUCAUCAGCUCGUGUUGAUUACGUCCCUGCCCUUUGUACACACCGGCCGUNGCUUCUACCGAUUGGAUUAGUACGUGAGGAGUUUGGACC
RNAcentral lists this ribosomal RNA (343 nucleotides) under Protomyzostomum polynephris. RNAcentral's name for it is "partial 18S ribosomal RNA". It matches the Rfam family "Eukaryotic small subunit ribosomal RNA", at positions 1350 to 1716 of the family's 1831-position model. The record is from RNAcentral. Lineage: Eukaryota; Metazoa; Annelida; Myzostomida; Protomyzostomidae.